ACGGUUUUUCCAAAACCUUUUCCCAUUAACAGAAAAUCAAAAAUGAUUUACCUAACCUUUGAUAAAAAUAUUUAAUAUUAACUUGACAUUUCAAGUUCCCGACAAAAUGCACGGGAUCCAGAGCAGAUUAAGAGAGCAGAUCAUAAUCCCCUCCUCCAAACAGAAAGAUAGGGAGAGAAACCAAAGUCCAAAUUAGAAAGACAAUAGAAAGCCCCCCCCCCCCCAGACUUUCCAGAUCGACCUACGACCCCCCCCCCCCCUUUCCGGGCAAGGGGGAGCCUUUCAAGAGAAGGUCAAUUAUGCCAGUUCCAACAUUAAAACCAUAAUAUGCGCUUAGGGGCUCGCCCUCGCUCCGCGCCCGGGGGCGGGAUUUUUUUCCUGGUCCCCCGAUUCUAUCUUUCCAAAGUAAGCCUCCUCCUUAGUUAACAAUACCCGGGAACUGCGAUGCUCAUAACCGGUCUUGUUUUUUGACGCCCCUCCACCAGGGAUACUGUGUAUUUGGACUUAACCUGUGAAAAAUCCCGAUUUGGGAAGGAUGUUUUUUAAAUCAAAAACAAAUGGCUUUGGGUCCUUAGGGGAAUCAUGAAACUGCUCGAAUCGCAUGCCUUGCGCGGGGGAUGUUUCAUUCAAAUAUCUGCCCUAUCAACUUUCGAUGGUAGAUAGAGCCCUACCAUGGUGAUGCGGGUAACGGGGAAUAAGGGUUCGAUUCCGGAGAGAGGCCCUGAGAAACGGCCCUCAGGUCUAAGGACACGCAGCAGGCGCGCAAAUUAUCCCCUGGCAACACUUUGCCGAGAUAGUGACAAUAAAUAACAAUGCAGGGCUCUUACGGGUCUUGCAAUUGGAAUGAGUACAAUUUAAAUCCCUUAACGAGGAUCAAUUGGAGGGCAAGUCUGGUGCCAGCAGCCGCGGUAAUUCCAGCUCCAAUAGCGUAUAUUAAAAUUGUUGCCGUUAAAAAGCUCGUAGUCGAACUUCGGGCUCUGUCAGCCGGUCCGCCUUCUUGGUGUGUACUUGUUUGACGGAGCCUUACCUCCUGGUGAACGGCAAUGUCCUUUACUGGGUGUCGUCGCAAACCAGGACUUUUACUUUGAAAAAAUUAGAGUGUUCAAAGCAGGCCUUUGCCCGAAUACAUUAGCAUGGAAUAAUAAAAUAGGACGCGCGUUCCCAUUUUGUUGGUUUCUGAGAUCGCCGUAAUGAUUAAUAGGGAUAGUUGGGGGCAUUUGUAUUCCGUCGUCAGAGGUGAAAUUCUUGGAUUGCCGGAAGACAAACUACUGCGAAAGCAUUUGCCAAGGAUGUUUUCAUUGAUCAAGAACGAAGGAAGGGGGAUCGAAAACGAUUAGAUACCGUUGUAGUCUCUUCUGUAAACUAUGCCAAUUGGGGAUCGGUACAGGAUUUUUAAUGACUGUAUCGGCACCCGAAGAGAAAUCUUUAAAUGAGGUUCGGGGGGGAGUAUGGUCGCAAGGCUGAAACUUAAAGGAAUUGACGGAAGGGCACCACCAGGUG
This 1500-nucleotide ribosomal RNA is filed under the name Rhodotorula sp. 'maule'. RNAcentral describes it as "bacterial SSU rRNA". The stretch from base 369 to 1500 matches the Rfam family "Eukaryotic small subunit ribosomal RNA", at positions 1 to 1176 of the family's 1831-position model. Lineage: Eukaryota; Fungi; Basidiomycota; Microbotryomycetes; Sporidiobolales; Sporidiobolaceae. RNAcentral also lists the same sequence under 1 other name. The record is from RNAcentral.